This 444-nucleotide ribosomal RNA is filed under the name uncultured bacterium. Its description in RNAcentral is "SSU rRNA". It matches the Rfam family "Bacterial small subunit ribosomal RNA", at positions 26 to 518 of the family's 1533-position model. The record is from RNAcentral.
AGAACGAACGCUGGCGGCAGGCUUAACACAUGCAAGUCGAGCGCCCCGCAAGGGGAGCGGCAGACGGGUGAGUAACGCGUGGGAACAUACCCUCCGGUUCGGAAUAGCUCAGGGAAACUUGGAUUAAUACCGGAUACGGCCUAGCGGCGAAAGAUUCAUCGCCGGAGGAUUGGCCCGCGUCUGAUUAGCUAGUUGGUGGGGUAAUGGCCCACCAAGGCGACGAUCAGUAGCUGGUCUGAGAGGAUGAUCAGCCACAUUGGGACUGAGACACGGCCCAAACUCCUACGGGAGGCAGCAGUGGGGAAUAUUGGACAAUGGGCGCAAGCCUGAUCCGGCCAUGCCGCGUGAGUGAUGAAGGCCCUAGGGUUGUAAAGCUCUUUUGUGCGGGAAGAUAAUGACGGUACCGCAAGAAUAAGCCCCGGCUAACUUCGCGCCAGCAGCCGC